RNAcentral lists this ribosomal RNA (127 nucleotides) under Octodon degus (degu). Lineage: Eukaryota; Metazoa; Chordata; Mammalia; Rodentia; Octodontidae. The record is from RNAcentral.
GUCUAUGGCCAUACCACCCUGAAGGUGUCCAAUCUCAUCUGAUCUUGGAAGCUAAGCAAGCUCAGGCCUGAUUAGUACUUGGAUGGGAGAAAGUACUCUACCACUGCUGGGUGUGGUGGUGCAUACC